RNAcentral lists this long non-coding RNA (593 nucleotides) under Pogona vitticeps (central bearded dragon). RNAcentral's name for it is "lncRNA (ENSPVIG00000012114.1)". The record is from RNAcentral. Lineage: Eukaryota; Metazoa; Chordata; Lepidosauria; Squamata; Agamidae.
CGUAAUGCUAUAAGCCUCUGACCAUCAUCAGAGCUGGAAAAAUUGUUCUUUUAAAAAAAAAAAAACAGUGGCUUUCAGGAUUCCCCAGCCAGCAGGAGCAUAGCAGGCUGGCUCGGGAGAUUUUGGCUCUCUCUACCAUCACUCCCACUUAGUGACUUGGUGUAUGUUAUUUUUUUUAAUCAUAAAAAUAACCACGGACUUUUCCCCCUCUCUUUCAGCUUCCCUUGCGGUCACAUCACAGAUUUCAGUGGAGGAAGUCACUACUGCUGUGGUGAGUUUGGAUUGCAACACCAUCAUUUUAACCACCGCCGUCUAGAUCGGGAGCCUUGGAAAGCCAAACUGGGGUAAAGGUAAGCAAACGGUGGCUACAGCAUAUUCAUUCAUUCAUUCAUUCAUUCAUUCAUUCAUUCAUUCAUUCAUUCAUUCAUUCUAUUUAUAUCCUGCCUAUCUGGUCAAUAAUAGCUGCCAGUGGUGAAUCCAUGGGACAUUCUGUACUGAUGUGUUGCUUUCCAGUUUAGCAAUUGCUGUAAUUCAGUGGGCCGGCUUUGGUGGAUUCAAGCCUAGAGUGUUGGAAUAAGUUGAGGGACGACCAC